CUACGGGAUGCAGCAGUGAGGAAUUUUGCGCAAUGGGGGAAACCCUGACGCAGCAACGCCGCGUGAGCGAAGAAGGCCCUCGGGUCGUAAAGCUCUGUCAAGUGGGAAAAAAAUUUUUUGAUCAAUAGUCAAAAGACUUGAUGGUACCAAUGGAGGAAGCACCGGCUAACUCCGUGCCAGCAGCCGCGGUAAUACGGAGGGUGCGAGCGUUGUUCGGAUUUACUGGGCGUAAAGAGCGUGUAGGCGGUUUAGAAAGUCAGAUGUGAAAGCCCUGGGCUCAACCCGGGAAGUGCAUUUGAAACUGCUUCACUAGAGUAUGGGAGAGGAGAUUGGAAUUCCUGGUGUAGAGGUGAAAUUCGUAGAUAUCAGGAGGAACACCCGUGGCGAAGGCGAUUCUCUGGACCAAUACUGACGCUGAGACGCGAAAGCGUGGGGAGCAAACAGGAUUAGAUACCCGGGUAGUC
Molecule: ribosomal RNA, 464 nt
Filed under: uncultured bacterium
Lineage: Bacteria
Description: partial 16S ribosomal RNA
Rfam family: Bacterial small subunit ribosomal RNA
Source: RNAcentral